Molecule: ribosomal RNA, 305 nt
Filed under: uncultured bacterium
Lineage: Bacteria
Description: bacterial SSU rRNA
Rfam family: Bacterial small subunit ribosomal RNA
Source: RNAcentral
GGGCCUACGGGAGGCAGCAGUGAGGAAUAUUGGUCAAUGGACGGAAGUCUGAACCAGCCAUGCCGCGUGCAGGAAGACGGCUCUAUGAGUUGUAAACUGCUUUUGUACAAGGGUAAACAUGAAUACGUGUAUUCAGCUGAAAGUACUGUACGAAUAAGGAUCGGCUAACUCCGUGCCAGCAGCCGCGGUAUUACGGAGGAUCCAAGCGUUAUCCGGAUUUAUUGGGUUUAGAGGGGUCGUAGGCGGAUUGAUAAGUUAGAGGUGAAAUGUCCGAGCUCGACUCGGGAACUGCCUCUAAUACUGUU